GACGAACCGAGCGAACGUUAUUCGGAAUCACUGGGCUUAAAGGGCGCGUAGGCGGGCAAUCAAGUCAGGGGUGAAAGCCCCCAGCUCAACUGGGGAAGUGCCUCUGAUACUGGUGGUCUCGAGGGAGGUAGGGGCGUGCGGAACUUCCGGUGGAGCGGUGAAAUGCGUAGAUAUCGGAAGGAACACCGGUGGCGAAAGCGGCGCGCUGGACCUCUUCUGACGCUGAGGCGCGAAAGCCAGGGGAGCGAACGGG
Molecule: ribosomal RNA, 253 nt
Filed under: uncultured bacterium
Lineage: Bacteria
Description: partial 16S ribosomal RNA
Rfam family: Bacterial small subunit ribosomal RNA
Source: RNAcentral